This 75-nucleotide ribosomal RNA is filed under the name Rhizobium leguminosarum. RNAcentral describes it as "partial 16S ribosomal RNA". It matches the Rfam family "Bacterial small subunit ribosomal RNA", at positions 1 to 74 of the family's 1533-position model. Lineage: Bacteria; Pseudomonadati; Pseudomonadota; Alphaproteobacteria; Hyphomicrobiales; Rhizobiaceae. RNAcentral also lists the same sequence under 2 other names. The record is from RNAcentral.
UCAACAUGAGAGUUUGAUCCUGGCUCAGAACGAACGCUGGCGGCAGGCUUAACACAUGCAAGUCGAGCGCCCCGC